AACGGCCGCGGUACCCUAACCGUGCGAAGGUAGCAUAAUCACUUGUUCUUUAAAUGAGGACUUGUAUCAACGGCAUCACGAGGGUUAAACUGUCUCCUUUUUCCUGUCAGUGAAACUAAUCUCCCCGUGAAGAAGCGGGGAUAAUUCUAUAAGACGAGAAGACCCCAUGGAGCUUUAAACCCAACCACACUCCUCUUUAACUUUACCUCUAACCUCCUAGGAUUUUGUGUGUUCUGGUUUUAGGUUGGGGUGACCGCGGAGCAUAAAUUAGCCUCCACAAUGAAUAGAUUUCCUCUUUAUCCAAGACCAACAUUUCUAAGAAUUAGCACUCUAACAUAAAAUGAUCCGAUAUUCGAUCAACGAACCAAGUUACCCUGGGGAUAACAGCGCAAUCCACUUCAAGAGCCCCUAUCGACAGGUGGGUUUACGACCUCGAUGUUGGAUCAGGGUAUCCUAGUGGUGCAGCAGCUACUAAAGGUUCGUUUGUUCAACGAUUAAAACCCU
This 504-nucleotide ribosomal RNA is filed under the name Guibemantis liber. Its description in RNAcentral is "partial 16S ribosomal RNA". It matches the Rfam family "Bacterial large subunit ribosomal RNA", at positions 1926 to 2597 of the family's 2925-position model. Lineage: Eukaryota; Metazoa; Chordata; Amphibia; Anura; Mantellidae. The record is from RNAcentral.